UACGGAGGGGGCUAGCGUUGUUCGGAAUUACUGGGCGUAAAGCGCACGUAGGCGGAUCAGCAAGUUAGGGGUGAAAUCCCGGGGCUCAACCCCGGAACUGCCUUUAAAACUGUUGGUCUGGAGGUCGAGAGAGGUGAGUGGAAUUCCGAGUGUAGAGGUGAAAUUCGUAGAUAUUCGGAGGAACACCAGUGGCGAAGGCGGCUCACUGGCUCGGUACUGACGCUGAGGUGCGAAAGCGUGGGGAGCAAACA
This 251-nucleotide ribosomal RNA is filed under the name uncultured bacterium. Its description in RNAcentral is "partial 16S ribosomal RNA". It matches the Rfam family "Bacterial small subunit ribosomal RNA", at positions 524 to 774 of the family's 1533-position model. The record is from RNAcentral.